Molecule: non-coding RNA, 92 nt
Organism: Cadophora sp. M221
Lineage: Eukaryota; Fungi; Ascomycota; Leotiomycetes; Helotiales; Ploettnerulaceae
Source: the annotation of a GenBank genome assembly
GCACUCUUGGUUUAGUGGUAAAAUCAACGCUUCCCAUUCUCAUAAGUGAGACUCGAUUGCGUUGGCCCCGGGUUCGAUUCCCGGAGGGUGCA